UACGUAGGGGGCAAGCGUUGUCCGGAUUUAUUGGGCGUAAAGAGCGUGUAGGCGGCUUUACAGGUCCGUUGUGAAAACUCGAGGCUCAACCUCGAGACGCCGGUGGAAACCGUAAAGCUAGAGUCCGGAAGAGGAGAGUGGAAUUCCUGGUGUAGCGGUGAAAUGCGCAGAUAUCAGGAGGAACACCGGUGGCGAAGGCGGGUCUCUGGUACGUGACUGACGCUGAGACGCGAAAGCGUGGGGAGCAAACAGG
RNAcentral lists this ribosomal RNA (253 nucleotides) under uncultured bacterium. Its description in RNAcentral is "partial 16S ribosomal RNA". It matches the Rfam family "Bacterial small subunit ribosomal RNA", at positions 524 to 776 of the family's 1533-position model. The record is from RNAcentral.